This 494-nucleotide ribosomal RNA is filed under the name uncultured bacterium. Its description in RNAcentral is "partial 16S ribosomal RNA". It matches the Rfam family "Bacterial small subunit ribosomal RNA", at positions 28 to 504 of the family's 1533-position model. The record is from RNAcentral.
GAUGAACGCUGGCGGCGUGCCUAAUACAUGCAAGUCGAGCGAACAGACGAGGAGCUUGCUCCUCUGACGUUAGCGGCGGACGGGUGAGUAACACGUGGAUAACCUACCUAUAAGACUGGGAUAACUUCGGGAAACCGGAGCUAAUACCGGAUAAUAUAUUGAACCGCAUGGUUCAAUAGUGAAAGACGGUUUUGCUGUCACUUAUAGAUGGAUCCGCGCCGCAUUAGCUAGUUGGUAAGGUAACGGCUUACCAAGGCAACGAUGCGUAGCCGACCUGAGAGGGUGAUCGGCCACACUGGAACUGAGACACGGUCCAGACUCCUACGGGAGGCAGCAGUAGGGAAUCUUCCGCAAUGGGCGAAAGCCUGACGGAGCAACGCCGCGUGAGUGAUGAAGGUCUUCGGAUCGUAAAACUCUGUUAUUGGGGAAGAACAAAUGUGUAAGUAACUAUGCACGUCUUGACGGUACCUAAUCAGAAAGCCACGGCUAACUAC